Molecule: ribosomal RNA, 804 nt
Filed under: uncultured fungus
Lineage: Eukaryota; Fungi
Description: SSU rRNA
Rfam family: Eukaryotic small subunit ribosomal RNA
Source: RNAcentral
GUGCCAGCAGCCGCGGUAAUUCCAGCUCCAAUAGCGUAUAUUAAAGUUGUUGUGGUUAAAAAGCUCGUAGUUGAACCCUGGGCCUGGCUGGCCGGUCCGCCUCACCGCGUGCACUGGUCCGGCCGGGCCUUUCCCUCUGUGGAACCCCAUACCCUUCACUGGGCGUGGCGGGGAAACAGGACAUUUACUUUGAAAAAAUUAGAGUGCUCCAGGCAGGCCUAUGCUCGAAUACAUUAGCAUGGAAUAAUAAAAUAGGACGCGCGGUUCUAUUUUGUUGGUUUAUAGGACCGCCGUAAUGAUUAAUAGGGACAGUCGGGGGCAUCAGUAUUCAACUGCCAGAGGUGAAAUUCUUGGAUCAGUUGAAGACUAACUACUGCGAAAGCAUUUGCCAAGGAUGUUUUCAUUAAUCAGGAACGAAAGUUAGGGGAUCGAAGACGAUCAGAUACCGUCGUAGUCUUAACCAUAAACUAUGCCGACUAGGGAUCGGACGGUGUUAUUCAUGACCCGUUCGGCACCUUACGAGAAAUCAAAGUGCUUGGGCUCCAGGGGGAGUAUGGGUCGCAAGGCUGAAACUUAAAGAAAUUGACGGAAGGGCACCACCAGGGGUGGAGCCUGCGGCUUAAUUUGACUCAACACGGGGAAACUCACCAGGUCCAGACACAAUAAGGACUGACAGAUUGAGAGCUCUUUUCUUGAUUUUGUGGUGGUGGUGCAUGGCCGUUCUUAGUUGGUGGGGUGACUUGUCUGGCUUAAUUGCGAUAACGAACGAGAACCUUAACCUGGCUAAAAUAGCCCGGCAUUGCU